GCCGGAUAAUCGCGCCCUAACAGGUGAGGAAAGUCCGUGCAUCCAAGGACAGAUUGCCGGAGAAACUCCGGACGGCGUAAGCCGGUGGACAGUGCUACAGGAAACAUACUGCCGAUGGAUUUUUUAAUCACAGGCGAUGGUGCAACGGUGAGUUAAGAGCUUCACCAGCAAUAUUGAGAAAUAUUGGCUAAGUAAACCCCAAUCGGAUGCAAGAUUAAUCGGAAGGCUACGAGGUGUCCGCCCACUUCCAAAAAAUCGCUAGAGAUUGAAAGUAAUUUCAAUACCAGACAGAUGAUUAUCUUAAAACAGAACACGGCUUAUGAGCUGCUUUA
Molecule: RNase P RNA, 332 nt
Filed under: human gut metagenome
Description: Bacterial RNase P class A
Rfam family: Bacterial RNase P class A
About the family: Ribonuclease P (RNase P) is a ubiquitous endoribonuclease, found in archaea, bacteria and eukarya as well as chloroplasts and mitochondria. Its best characterised activity is the generation of mature 5'-ends of tRNAs by cleaving the 5'-leader elements of precursor-tRNAs.
Source: RNAcentral